RNAcentral lists this ribosomal RNA (253 nucleotides) under uncultured bacterium. RNAcentral's name for it is "partial 16S ribosomal RNA". It matches the Rfam family "Bacterial small subunit ribosomal RNA", at positions 524 to 776 of the family's 1533-position model. The record is from RNAcentral.
UACGAAGGGGGCUAGCGUUGUUCGGAAUUACUGGGCGUAAAGCGUGCGCAGGCGGCUGCUCAAGUCAGGGGUGAAAGCCCAGAGCUCAACUCUGGAAUUGCCUUUGAGACUGAGUGGCUUGAGUACGGGAGAGGUGAGUGGAAUUCCCAGUGUAGAGGUGAAAUUCGUAGAUAUUGGGAAGAACACCGGUGGCGAAGGCGGCUCACUGGCCCGUAACUGACGCUGAGGCACGAAAGCGUGGGGAGCAAACAGG